This 623-nucleotide long non-coding RNA is filed under the name Vulpes vulpes (red fox). Its description in RNAcentral is "lncRNA (ENSVVUG00000019381.1)". The record is from RNAcentral. Lineage: Eukaryota; Metazoa; Chordata; Mammalia; Carnivora; Canidae.
AAUAAGUUCCAAGGAUGGGCUCUGCACCAUGCCCUUUGGCCAAGGCUGUCUGAUCGGUUCAGCCUACCACCCAUUGGGGUCUGGUCCUCCUGGUCCAGCUCAGGUUCAGAGCCCUUACUUUGACUUCUUAUCUGUGCUGCUUUUGUGAUCAUGGCCAUCCUCUGAUCUCCACCGUCCUGGAACCAGUCAUGAAAGAAGAGAGGAUAAAGGUGCUUCUCAUGUUUUGCUGUUGCAAUACCACCGCAUUGUGCAACCUUAGUCCCUUGCAAGAUGCUAGAGUCAGAUAGACAUGGCUUCUCCUCCCACGGGGAGGUUGGCUGGAACACAUGGAGAAGGGGAACAUCAGGAGUUGGAUCUGUAAAAGAAGUCUGCAUCAGUGUAUGAGAAAUUAUGACUCCGAGCCACCCCAUUCUGAAAUUAUGGGGCAUUCUAGCAAUAGAGCUGUCCAAAGAGGAGUACCCAGGCAAGCCAAAGUAGCAGGGGAAGGCCUGCUGAGUGGGGAGACCCAGUGGAGUCUUAAAAGAAGGACAAGAACAAAUGAGAGAACUGUACAAAUUUAUUCUAAAUAAAUAAUCAUAAACGCAUAUAAUAAAGACUUACUUGAUGAAGGAGAUAAUGCUAGG